UUAAUGUACUGUCAGCCUUGGACUUUGUUGUGGUUGUAAGCGGGUGUCCCAGAGGAAGGGAACUGCUUGGCACGUGUUCUCUCUCCUGUCCUCCUUCUAACCCUGGCCACAAAGCAGCGAGGUCUGUCAGGUUUUUAUCCAGCUUGCAGGUAAAGGGUUACAGAUUCUAGGAAGUAUUAAAUGCAAACUUUAAAGGAUUUUAUUUUCAUCUGCAGUCACAUGACACCCUAAUACCCAAUGACACUAACUACAGUGUCUCAUUAAGAGGUCAUGCGAACUCCCAAGCUAAACAAGGCAUUCUUACAUAUUUAACAUUCAAAUGCAGAAGCCACGCUAAGCCAUGGAAGAUUGCAAUCAGAAAAAAGCUACACUUCCUGAUCAGCACAGAAGCUACAGGUUCUUUAAAGAGGAGACAGAUUGCUAGCAUUUUGGGCUGAAAUCUGGAGGUUAUUUGGGAAUGUGAAAGCUCCUUGCUGCUUGGGUCCAUGACAAACACGCAGAUGCGAUUCAUGCACUGGAACAACCCGCACCACCAUGGUAAGCCGUGCUCCAACAGCUGGGGCCCGGGUCAUUUGUAGUUGUGUCCUGCAAUGUAUUGGAGUGAGUGGGUGUGUGAGGUUUUGUGCUUCUCUCCCAGAAACAAUAAUAUGAAAAGUAUUAAACAAUGUAAGAGAGCAGGAUGUGGCGACAUUCCUUGAUUUAUGAGCACUGUUAUACACAUCAGACAAGUAUUAAGUUUCCAAGAAUAUCUCAAAAGGGAUGUUGCUAAGCAAAGAUGAUGGUACAAAAGAGUAGUUAGUUAAGAUGUCUGAGUGUAAUUUGCAGGAACAAGAACCAUUUUCCAAGCUAUCACUACGUAAAAGAGGAGAAAGCUCCAAAUACAAUGAAAAGAGGAUAUUUUUAACUCAUGUUUCGGUAUAAACAUAGACUGGUU
RNAcentral lists this long non-coding RNA (934 nucleotides) under Cairina moschata (Muscovy duck). RNAcentral's name for it is "domestica (muscovy Duck (domestic type)) lncRNA (ENSCMMG00000015541.1)". Lineage: Eukaryota; Metazoa; Chordata; Aves; Anseriformes; Anatidae. The record is from RNAcentral.